This 493-nucleotide long non-coding RNA is filed under the name Ananas comosus (pineapple). Its description in RNAcentral is "long non-coding RNA (ACOM_LNC036820)". Lineage: Eukaryota; Viridiplantae; Streptophyta; Magnoliopsida; Poales; Bromeliaceae. The record is from RNAcentral.
AAAUGAAACUUUAACUUAUAUAUAAUAUAAAGGAAAAACUUCAAAAACCCUCCCUGUGGUUUUGCACUUUUUUAUUUUAGUACCAUGUGAUUUAAAGUGUAUCAAGUUAGUACCCUGUGGUUUUUCACUUUAUCACUUUUGUACUCUGUGGUUUAAAGUAUAUCAAGUUAGUACUCUGUAGUUUUAAUUUUUGUAUCAAGUUAGUACCAUGCGGUUUUCAAACCACAUGAUACUAAAGUGAUAAAGUGUGAAACCACAUAGUACUAAAGUGAUAAUGGGCGAAACCACAAGGUACUAAUUUAAUACACUUUAAACCACAAGAUACUAAAGUGAAAAAGUGCAAAACCACAGGGUACUAACUUGAUACACUUUAAAUCAUAGAGUACUAAAGUGAAAAAAAAUGAAACCACAAGGAAGGUAUUUGAAGUUUUUCCAUAUAUAAAAAAUAUCACCCAUAUAGUUUCAGAGUUUGGUUCUCACACCUUCUAAUUUU